RNAcentral lists this ribosomal RNA (497 nucleotides) under uncultured bacterium. Its description in RNAcentral is "partial 16S ribosomal RNA". It matches the Rfam family "Bacterial small subunit ribosomal RNA", at positions 28 to 507 of the family's 1533-position model. The record is from RNAcentral.
GAUGAACGCUGGCGGCGUGCCUAAUACAUGCAAGUCGAGCGAACGGACGAGAAGCUUGCUUCUCUGAUGUUAGCGGCGGACGGGUGAGUAACACGUGGAUAACCUACCUAUAAGACUGGGAUAACUUCGGGAAACCGGAGCUAAUACCGGAUGAUAUUUUGAACCGCAUGGUUCAAAAGUGAAAGACGGUCUUGCUGUCACUUAUAGAUGGAUCCGCGCUGCAUUAGCUAGUUGGUAAGGUAACGGCUUACCAAGGCAACGAUGCAUAGCCGACCUGAGAGGGGGAUAGGACACAAUGGAACAGAGACACGGUCCAGACCCAUACGGGCGGCAGCAGUAGGAAAUGUUCCGAAAUGGGCGGAAGCCUGACGGAGAAACGCCGCGUGAGUGAUGAAGGUCUUCGGAUCGUAAAACUCUGUUAUUAGGGAAGAACAUAUGUGUAAGUAAAUGUGAACAUCUUGACGGUACCUAAUCAGAAAGACACGGCUAGCUACGUG